AACCUAUUUUAUAGUUUGACAAAAAGAAAAAAAUAAAAGGCCCUCAUAGAUGAAAAACAUAAACGAAAAACUCAUAUGCACCUAAGAUCGACCAUAUAUUCGAAGAUCGUCGUGUCUAACGUGAGCCAGCUUUCUCUUUCACACCUAGUAAAUAAGAAACCAUGAACCUUUGUCAUGAAAAACAGCAAAAUAGUUGAACAAACCCAAAUCUGAGUUCAUGAACUGAAAAAAGAAAAAGUGCCCAAAAUUUAUUUGUUAAAAAAUUGAAGUUUUACUAAAUUGGGUUCAUGAAUCAUUCAAAUCUAAGAUUUAUAAAUAGAAAGUUGAAC
This 329-nucleotide long non-coding RNA is filed under the name Prunus persica (peach). RNAcentral's name for it is "long non-coding RNA (PPER_LNC004741)". Lineage: Eukaryota; Viridiplantae; Streptophyta; Magnoliopsida; Rosales; Rosaceae. The record is from RNAcentral.